RNAcentral lists this ribosomal RNA (442 nucleotides) under uncultured bacterium. Its description in RNAcentral is "partial 16S ribosomal RNA". It matches the Rfam family "Bacterial small subunit ribosomal RNA", at positions 338 to 795 of the family's 1533-position model. The record is from RNAcentral.
CCUACGGGAGGCAGCAGUGGGGAAUAUUGGGCAAUGGGCGCAAGCCUGACCCAGCAACGCCGCGUGAAGGAAGAAGGCUUUCGGGUUGUAAACUUCUUUUAAGGGGGAAGAGAAGAAGACGGUACCCCUUGAAUAAGCCACGUCUAACUACGUGCCAGCAGCCGGGGUAAUACGUAGGUGGCAAGCGUUGUCCGGAUUUAGUGGGUGAAAAGGGCGUGCAGCCGGAGAGAGAAGUCUGAUGUGAAAUCUACGGGCUCAACCCGUGAACUGCAUUUGACACUGUUUCCCUAGAGUGUAGGAGAGGUAAUCGGAAUUCCUGGUGUAGCGGUGAAAUGCGUAGAUAUAAGGAAGAACACCAGUGGCGAAGGCGGAUUACUGGACGAUAACUGACGGUGAGGCGCGAAAGCGUGGGGAGCAAACAGGAUUAGAUACCCGAGUAGUC